This 381-nucleotide ribosomal RNA is filed under the name uncultured eukaryote. RNAcentral describes it as "SSU rRNA". It matches the Rfam family "Eukaryotic small subunit ribosomal RNA", at positions 587 to 972 of the family's 1831-position model. The record is from RNAcentral.
AGCUCCAAUAGCGUAUAUUAAAGUUGUUGCGGUUAAAAAGCUCGUAGUUGGAUUUCUGCUGAGGACGACCGGUCCGCCCUCUGGGUGAGUAUCUGGCUCGGCCUUGGCAUCUUCUUGGUGAACGUAUCUGCACUUGACUGUGUGGUGCGGUGGCCAGGACUUUUACUUUGAGGAAAUUAGAGUGUUUCAAGCAGGCAUACGCCUUGAAUACAUUAGCAUGGAAUAAUAAGAUAGGACCUCGGUUCUAUUUUGUUGGUUUCUAGGGCUGAGGUAAUGAUUAAUAGGGAUAGUUGGGGUUCUUCGUAUUCAAUUGUCAGAGGUGAAAUUCUUGGAUUUAUGGAAGACGAACUGCUGCGAAAGCGUCGAACAAGGACGUUCUCA